This is a long non-coding RNA of Biomphalaria glabrata, 2509 nucleotides long. RefSeq lists it as uncharacterized. The transcript has 2 exons. The record is from RefSeq and is a predicted model, not a curated record. NCBI's taxonomy places the organism in Eukaryota, Metazoa, Mollusca, Gastropoda, Planorbidae.
UAUAGUUAUUCUUAUUAUUUGAGCGCAAUGUAUUUAUGAUAUUACAAUUUUUGUUCCUAGAAUAAAAAAGGGGGGAGGGGGCGCCAAAAAAUGGCGUGUUACAGAUACACUGCCCGUUUUUAAACAGUUACUUCAAGAUAUCUAGUCAGGAUAGAGUCUGGCUUUAACAUCUUCAUUAUAGUGAUGUUUUUAUUUUAAAAACUCGAUUCUUUGACAGUAAAGUAUAUCUACUUCAGUUUACUGGAUAUCGACGAGCGGUACCUGUUGAAAAAGGUUUGAAAAGCACUGAUCUAGAUCUAGAUCUACUGGGUAAUAGUUGAAAGCAAUCGUAUAUUUACUAAAUUCUUUAUCACUUAGCCGAAAUUCGUAUCUAUAGUUUUGUAUAUAAAUAACAAAAUGGCGAGUGUUUUGCUUUCACACUCACAGCAUUCGCAGGUUGAAACUUUAAAGAGGCGUAAGAAACAAACUAAAAUUCUAAAAAAAUAAAUAAACUAAAAAUUCUUUUGUCUGUUCGCGAACAUUUAUCUUUAUCGGAUGAAGCAACACGGUGUGUCUGUCGACUGCGAAAUUCUCAGCAGCAGCAACUCAAUAUUUGGUAUCAGGCUUUUCUGCCAGCAGUCUCUUCUUCCUCAAGAUGACAUUUCUGACGUGUUCCUUAGGAUGGUCAUGUUGGUUUUUGAUUAUGUCAUUAAGGAUGUGCUGUUGAGCGAAAAGACUACUACACAGUGGAAACUGGUUCAAGAACAGAUGACUAAUUAACAACAAUGAAAAGACAAAUCAGAAACAAGAGGAGAGGCAUUUACUACACAUGUGCAGUUUGUUUGGUUUUAUUUACAGUCAUUAUUUUAAGAUCCGCCAAACAGUCAAAGAUCUCAAAGUUGAGACUUAAAUCUCGAAUGGAUUCUUAUUUUUCAGUUGAUUGUGUCUAACACAAAUAAGGUAAAUUUAAAUUUAGCAACAACGCUAUCGUUAGGGACAGUUACAGAAAAAGAAUACUAGCCAUCAGUAGGACAGCCUUGGGCAGCAAUGACAUUAGACACAUGCAGUGCGUUUCUCUGAACCACAAUUUCUUCACUAAAAUACCCAGCAAAUGUAGUUAAUUCAUGAUGUAUUUCAGGUGAUAUACUUUCCAUAUUUCACAGGCAUAAAGCAAUAGUAAUCUAAUGUGGUGUAUAAAAUACAAACAUGCUCAAUGUGUGAAGCACCAUUAAAGAGUGGCAACACAGUUUUUCUGAUAUACUGGGAGAUGUGCAUUUGUACAAACUUUUUAAAGGGAUUUGAGUUUUUCUUUGAUCAUCAGAUAAAUAUUUGAUUUAUAAGCAAAUAGUCCUUUUUUCUGAGAAUUAAUUGCAUUUUUUUGUGUAGAGAUAGGGACACCUCAAACACCCAACAGCUCUGUGGUGGUUGAGGGGGGGGGUGCUAAGUGGUUUAGUGCAGUUGCUUUAGAGCUAAGGGUUUUCAGGUUCAAAUCUUGUUGAAGAUUGUUUUUGAAUUUCAGGAUUUUAGAAUGCCUUGGGUCAGUGCAAUUCUAAUGGGUAUCUGACAUUAGUUGGGGAAAGUAAAGAAGGUUGGUCGUUGUGCUGGCCAUAUGAUACCUUUAUAACAGUAGGCCACAGAAACAGAUGACAUUUACAUCAUCUGCCAUAUAGAUUGCAAAUUCUAAAAGGCAUUCUUUUUACAUUUUAAUCCCUAACUAUUCUAAAUAUUCUAACCAUUUUUUCAUUCAAAGACAUUUUUUCUUUUCUGAGCAACUAAAUUGAUGAUCAUGUUAAAUCAACAUUUGAUUUUUAAAAAAUAAUUUCUGAUUUACUUUGAUGCAAGAAAAAGCUAAUAUUAUAAGCAUUACUCACCAUAGUCAAAUUAUGCACUUUUAUAAAGUAUGCUAAGUAGGCUUAGCAAAGCAUAAAAAAAAAAAGAAUAUUUGCUAUUGACCUUUUCGAAAAUUAAAACAAAAAAAAAAUUUUGUGCCAAGAUCAUUAUACUAUAGCUUUUUAUUGUAUUGCAUGCCACCUAAAAAAAGUUUGACAUUCUGCAUGAUAUCAACUGAGGUCAAUGAAAUAUGGAAAAGGAGCUACAAACUAAGUACAUUAAUGAAACCAAAAAAAAAAAAAAGAAUUAGAAGAUAACUACCAUGUCAGACAAAAACUGUCUAAUUUUAAGAAAGGCCUAACUUCUAGCUAUGACCAAUUGUGACAAAGAAUACAUUUUAUUACUUAAUUAUCAGAAAGAAUGUCAAAUUAGGUAGGAGGUGUGGUGGCCGAGUGGUAAAGUUGUUAGCUUCUGAACCAGGGGUUUCAGGUUUGAAUUCUGGUGAAGACUGGGAUUUUUACUUUCUGUAAUGUCUUAGUGUCAAUGAUUAGAUUGACCAUGGUAAUGACUUAUGUCAAUGAAAACAUUGAAAAAGGUAAUGAGUUAGUGUCAAUGAUUACAUUGAGAAUUGUAAUGACUUAGUGUUAUUGAUUGGAUUGAGAAUGGUAAUGACUUAAUUUCAAUAAAAACAACAAAAAUG